RNAcentral lists this ribosomal RNA (473 nucleotides) under uncultured bacterium. RNAcentral's name for it is "bacterial SSU rRNA". It matches the Rfam family "Bacterial small subunit ribosomal RNA", at positions 355 to 825 of the family's 1533-position model. The record is from RNAcentral.
UCGGGAAUUUUGGGCAAUGGGCGCAAGCCUGACCCAGCGACGCCGCGUGGGUGAUGAAGGCCUUCGGGUCGUAAAGCCCUGUCGGGUGGAAAGAACGGUAUGGGUGCAAAUAGCGCUCAUACGUGACGGUACCACCAAAGGAAGCACCGGCCAAUUCCGUGCCAGCAGCCGCGGUAAGACGGAAGGUGCAAGCGUUGCUCGGAAUUACUGGGCGUAAAGGGCGCGUAGGCGGCCAUCUAAGUCAGACGUGAAAUCCCCCGGCUCAACCUGGGAACUGCGUCUGAUACUGGGAGGCUAGAGUUUGGGAGAGGGAUGUAGAAUUCCAGGUGUAGCGGUGAAAUGCGUAGAUAUCUGGAGGAAUACCGGUGGCGAAGGCGGCAUCCUGGACCAAUACUGACGCUGAGGCGCGAAAGCCAGGGGAGCAAACGGGAUUAGAUACCCGAGUAGUCCCUGAGCGGGCUGGCAAGGCGCAU